GAUGAACGCUGGCGGCGUGCCUAAUACAUGCAAGUCGAGCGAACGGACGAGAAGCUUGCUUCUCUGAUGUUAGGGGCGGACGGGUGAGUAACACGUGGAUAACCUACCUAUAAGACUGGGAUAACUUCGGGAAACCGGAGCUAAUACCGGAUAAUAUUUUGAACCGCAUGGUUCAAAAGGGAAAAACGGUCUUGCUGUCACUUAUAGAUGGAUCCGCGCUGCAUUAGCUAGUUGGUAAGGUAACGGCUUACCAAGGCAACGAUGCAUAACCGACCUGAGAGGGUGAUCGGCCACACUGGAACUGAGACACGGUCCAGACUCCUACGGGAGGCAGCAGUAGGGAAUCUUCCGCAAUGGGCGAAAGCCUGACGGAGCAACGCCGCGUGAGUGAUGAAGGUCUUCGGAUCGUAAAACUCUGUUAUUAGGGAAGAACAUAUGUGUAAGUAACUGUGCACAUCUUGACGGUACCUAAUCAGAAAGCCACGGCUAACUACGUG
Molecule: ribosomal RNA, 497 nt
Filed under: uncultured bacterium
Lineage: Bacteria
Description: partial 16S ribosomal RNA
Rfam family: Bacterial small subunit ribosomal RNA
Source: RNAcentral